RNAcentral lists this ribosomal RNA (397 nucleotides) under Aeromonas sp. OrAs3. RNAcentral describes it as "bacterial SSU rRNA". It matches the Rfam family "Bacterial small subunit ribosomal RNA", at positions 78 to 475 of the family's 1533-position model. Lineage: Bacteria; Pseudomonadati; Pseudomonadota; Gammaproteobacteria; Aeromonadales; Aeromonadaceae. The record is from RNAcentral.
CUUUUGCCGGCGAGCGGCGGACGGGUGAGUAAUGCCUGGGGAUCUGCCCAGUCGAGGGGGAUAACAGUUGGAAACGACUGCUAAUACCGCAUACGCCCUACGGGGGAAAGGAGGGGACCUUCGGGCCUUUCGCGAUUGGAUGAACCCAGGUGGGAUUAGCUAGUUGGUGGGGUAAUGGCUCACCAAGGCGACGAUCCCUAGCUGGUYWGAGAGGAUGAUCAGCCACACUGGAACUGAGWCAYGGUCCAGACUCCUACGGGAGGCAGCAGUGGGGAAUAUUGCACAAUGGGGGAAACCCUGAUGCAGCCAUGCCGCGUGUGUGAAGAAGGCCUUCGGGUUGUAAAGCACUUUCAGCGAGGAGGAAAGGUUGGCGCCUAAUACGUGUCAACUGUGACGU